This 710-nucleotide ribosomal RNA is filed under the name uncultured bacterium. RNAcentral describes it as "bacterial SSU rRNA". It matches the Rfam family "Bacterial small subunit ribosomal RNA", at positions 94 to 823 of the family's 1533-position model. The record is from RNAcentral.
AGCGGCGGACGGGUGAGUAACGCGUGGGUAACCUGCCUCAUACACAUGGAUAACAUACCGAAAGGUAUGCUAAUACAAGAUGAUAUAAGAGAUUCGCGUGGAUUUCUUAUCAAAGCUCCGGCGGUAUGAGAUGGACCCGCGUCUGAUUAGCUAGUUGGUAAGGUAACGGCUUACCAAGGCGACGAUCAGUAGCCGACCUGAGAGGGUGAUCGGCCACAUUGGAACUGAGACACGGUCCAAACUCCUACGGGAGGCAGCAGUGGGGAAUAUUGCACAAUGGGCGAAAGCCUGAUGCAGCAACGCCGCGUGAGCGGUGAAGGCCUUCGGGUCGUAAAGCUCUGUCCUCAAGGAAGAUAAUGACGGUACUUGAGGAGGAAGCCCCGGCUAACUACGUGCCAGCAGCCGCGGUAAUACGUAGGGGGCUAGCGUCAUCCGGAUUUACUGGGCGUAAAGGGUGCGUAGGUGGUUUCUUAAGUCAGGAGUGAAAGGCUACGGCUCAACCGUAGUAAGCUCUUGAAACUGGGAAACUUGAGUGCAGGAGAGGAAAGUGGAAUUCCUAGUGUAGCGGUGAAAUGCGUAGAUAUUAGGAGGAACACCAGUAGCGAAGGCGGCUUUCUGGACUGUAACUGACACUGAGGCACGAAAGCGUGGGGAGCAAACAGGAUUAGAUACCCUGGUAGUCCACGCCGUAAACGAUGAGUACUAGGUGU